CAGUUCUGUUGGCAUCAAGUGGACAUGUUUAUUACAGCUGGCAGAGAGACAGAGUUGACACCUUUCACCUCUGGAGAAGGUUGGAACAACAGGCAUCUAGCUGAAAUCCCAUGUCACCAACUAGAAGCAAAAUACACCUUUCAAUCAGCCUUGUCAAAACGAUGAAGUAGCAGGAAUCUCCUUGGAGAGCAAUGUAUCACAACAGUUUUCAAGACAGUUUCCAAAUCGAAGAUGACUUCCAAGGAACAGCAAGGAUGUAAUCUUGGAGCCAAUCAAACCAGUGGCAAAAAUCCCACUUUCUGCAUGAUCUUCUUAAUGCAGCCUCUGACAUUUUGGAGCUUCAUAUAUUAUGGUUAAAAGCUCUUAUCCUAUCAGCUGAAGUGAAUCAAGGUGGGAGGAGGUGAAGCAAUUGGAACGGGCAGUUUUUAAGGCUGCGCUGAGUAUAAGGGGAGUUAAGUGGAGAUAUGCCCCAAACAGAACCAGUGGACCUGGUGUCACACCUAACAGUUGUGUGAAGCAGCGCCCUAUCCCCUGGUAUUGCCAGGAGGAGCCGUGGAAGGAGGAAAUUCAAAGAGGAGCUGUUUUCCACCUCUCCUCAUCCUGGGUGCUUUUCAGCUCAACCACCCUUCUGGAGGCCAGAAAACCCACUAUUGUCACGACGCAGUUUCACUGAUGAUUGCUAGAGUGGUGGAGUUCUAUUUUGCUCCUGCUGCUUUUCCAGUUACAGGACAGCGACCUGAGGAGAGAAGGAAGCCAAGCAAGGUGCACUGAAGAUGGGCCAAGGCCUACAUCCUAUGGAAACUCUUGGGAUAGAUGAAAUCCCACCACUGAUUGACACCUAUCUUCUUUAUCUUCUUUAGCACUUAGCCUCUAAAACUUGGUGGAAAUUCACAAGUCUGGAAGUGGUCGUUGCAUUCUUGAGUAAGAUGCCGUCCAUUUUACAACCGGCAUUUGUCUGUAGGUUCCACAAUGGCUCUUUUAUUUAAAUGCUCACUCCUUGCCUAAGGAUUAUUGACUGGAGCCUUUCAUUCCUGACAUCACCCAGUUUCUCCAUGCUGACCAGCUGUGUGUGGAGAAGCAGACUCAGAAGAUGGCUACUCCGGGGUCAGCACUGCCAGCCAGCUGCUUAUUCUUGCAUGGGAUAUCCGCCUACUCCUUGCAAAAGCAGUGCCUGGGUGACCCAUCUGCUAAUGCAGAGGGGCGCUUCUGAGGCCGAGCAGUUGCAUGGCCUGGCAGAAAUACAUUUUGGGGAGUGCACAGCUUAUGUUCACACACAAGAAAGAACUUUACAGCACCAGGCACUUAGAUGUCCUUCACGCCUUCACCUCUCUAAGGAAUACCCUUUCUGAGCCAUCCUGUGCUAACCUGGACAUUAGAAUGGAAUGCAGACAAACAUACAUAGCAACUUGUCCCCUCUGAUUUACCCAAAGUCAUUUCAUUUCUUUGUGUUCACCUGCAUUACUUUGAUCCAAGCAUUCAUUUCUUAGGCAGAAACUUUUUAUACACAUACAAUCUUUUUUUUUUUUUCCCCUUGAUAAAAAAAAUCUAAUAUCCUUCUCCCAGCCUAUGGAUGUCUGCUGAGAGUCCAUGGGUAUGAUUCCUAUAAGGCCAUUGCUGCUUGAGUGGGAAAGAAUGCACAGCAGUAAGGUAUCCUCAGGUUUCCAAACCACCUAGAAGUUUAGUAUGGUCUCAUUCUUCCAAAACACAAGUUCUGUCAACUAGAACAACAGCAACAAAAAAAAAAACCCUACAAGUUUAUUAUCUCCCAGCAUUAAAACACAGCCAUCUUUUUAUGAUGACCACACAACACUCCUGCAGACAUGACCAAUCAUUAGUUUUGCCUGACGAUCAGACCUACUCACCUGUCAGCCUAGCUGGCUUGCUGAUGGAAAUGCUGCUUCUCUGAGGGCCCAAACAGAGGCUUCAAGUGAAAGAGAGAAUGAGAAUUUGGCACAUAACCCUGAAAAGCCCCAGUACAACACUGGGGCUUCUUGGCACAAGUCACCAGUUUCAGCACCAGAGACUGCUGUGUCUGUAAGGUCAGGCCUAUUUCCCUCACCGUGCCCUGUGAGCUCCUCUAGCAAGCUCCAUCUUAAGUAAGGAAAUUGUUUGUGCUUGUAAUCACCAGUAGUUAGCAAGCCUUUUUCUAAUUUCAGCCUAUGUCCAUCCACAGCAGGUUGUAUUACCACUUCUUGUACCAGUGCAUGCCUUUCCCUAGAGAGCUCUUCUCAACCUUCCUUAAUUUUUAGCUAUGACAUAUUUAUAGGCAGAAAUUCUGGUCGCUGCCUUUCUCUGCUAACCCCUCCCACUGUCCCCUCUGUUGGCAGGCCCUGUUGUCCUUGACCACCUUGGUAACAUUUCUGCUAUUGCUCCUGCAUCAGCUCAUCUCUUUUGUUUCUCAGUGAUGAAAGAAGUGCACAACAUUGAAGCUGAACGCUCAUCUGUGCCUGGUGCACUAUCCCUGUCUGAUUUGCUCGCUACGACUGCAUUUCCCUUUUCAUGGCUACAGCAUAGUUGUGGCUCAAAGUCACCCUGUGAUUAGAGUACAUCGAAGUCUUCUUCCUCCCCGAGCAGCUUUAAGUGCAUGGCUCAUACUGAAUGUUUUCUUAGUAACAAUACCCAGCUCUGCGGUGAUCUGCAUGAGCUAUGGGUCUGGGCCCCUUCUCCAGAAGAGUCAGACUUUGCCAGCUGACACCAGCUGCAGAACCAGUUCUCAGUAUUCAGUGCACUUGGGGAGAAAGAAACAAGUAGUAAACCAAAGACAAACAGAGCUACAGUCAAACGUAUUAUAACACUACCAACCAAGACAGCUGCUUCUGCCAACAUGGAAACAAGAUAGGAACUAGAGUGUUUCUAUUUUUGCAUUCAAAUAGAAACAGAUGGAGAGGACUUGGGGAAUUUAUCAAACCAAAUAAAUAUUUUUCAUUUUAAAAUUUGAAUGGAAUGGAAAUUAUAAUCUGCCACUGUUACCAUGGAGCUGAAUAUUGUCCUUCCCCUCAUCCGGCCUUUAGCAGUAAGGAGUUGGUUGCGGCAGGGCUGGAGUUUUGCAGUUUUCUUCCUCACCCAACCCAGCUCUCUCCUUUGAAUUACACUGCCUGGUUACCGACUGCAGAAAGAAGAGUCAGGUUUUGCAAUAUUUUUUUUAUGGAUUGCUAGCUGAAAAAUGAGAACAAAAUGAACUUCUGGAUAGCAGGCACCACUGUUUUUCACUAUUCUUACCUAAGUUAAAGCAGUGAACCUCCACUUCCAAACUGAGAGGAGCCAAAGUGCCCAACUUCAGACCUUCCUGUGUGCCAGCUCCAAGCCAGUGGGAUGACUGGGAGGCUGGAGCCACACCAAAGCUGGGGAUUUUGAGCCAGAUUGCUGCCACCACCUUCUUAUCUCAGACCAAGAGCACCUGAGGCUGCCUAAAACCUGCUAGAAACAGCCCAGUGAGGUGGAGCACUUUCUUGCAAUGACUUACAGAAUGUCACAGCCAAAUCCAAAAAGUGUUUUAAAAGUGAGGAUGCAGUACAAAUGGAACAAACUUGGUCAUUAACUCUGGAUAUUCCACUGCCUCAAGAGUAGAACCUCUCUGCUUGGUCAAAUAGGUAAUAAAAUAGAUUAACAGAUAAUCUAAGAGGCUCUCCAUUGCCUUUUUUUUUUUUAAACUGUUUCCAGUAAACAGCCCCAUGCCUGUAAAUAUUUUAGAACAGGAAAAUAUUUAGUGACCCAGGUACUGAAAGGGCUGCCAUUAACCCUGCAAUAGACUUUUGCAUCCGCAAAUGCCCCUGAAAACAAAUGGAUUAGACUAAUUGCAUUCAUUCAGAUUAGCAAACAGCCCGAUAAGCCAGGACCGUGGUCCAUAAUGGCACAAUGCCCUUGGAGACUCCUUUCCUAGGACUGUAUCAGCAGUGCUACACACUGCAGGCAUCACACAAGUGUGCUGCUGCCAUUAAACUCCUGUUCUUUAAGAGCUUAAGAGGCCGAUUCAAACAUUUUUUCCUUCCUUGAACUGUAUUUAAAUCAAGUCACUUCUCUACAUUUUUCACCUGAAUAAAGAGCAUUUUUCUGUUAUGUUAAGGUUUGUAGGUGACG
This is a long non-coding RNA of Gallus gallus (chicken), 4077 nucleotides long. The record is from Ensembl. NCBI's taxonomy places the organism in Eukaryota, Metazoa, Chordata, Aves, Galliformes, Phasianidae.